This 260-nucleotide ribosomal RNA is filed under the name uncultured dinoflagellate. RNAcentral's name for it is "partial 18S ribosomal RNA". The stretch from base 50 to 260 matches the Rfam family "Eukaryotic small subunit ribosomal RNA", at positions 691 to 903 of the family's 1831-position model. The record is from RNAcentral. Lineage: Eukaryota; Dinophyceae.
UUUCUGCUGAGGACGACCGGUCCGCCCUCUGGGUGAGUAUCUGGCUCGGCCUUUGCAUCUUCUUGAAGAAUGUAACUGCACUUGACUGCGUGGUGCGGCAUUCAAGACUUUUACUUUGAGGAAAUUAAAGUGUUUGACGCAGGCAUAUGCCUUGAAUACAUUAGCAUGGAAUAAUGAGAUAGGACCUUUAUUCUAUUUUGUUGGUUUUUAGAAUUGAGGUAAUGAUUAAUAGGGAUAGUUGGGGGCAUUCGCAUUUAACU